This 1016-nucleotide small RNA is filed under the name Arabidopsis thaliana (thale cress). Its description in RNAcentral is "ATSL164810". The record is from RNAcentral. Lineage: Eukaryota; Viridiplantae; Streptophyta; Magnoliopsida; Brassicales; Brassicaceae.
CGCCUUCGCGAUUGAGUGAAACUGAGCUGCUUGCUUCUCCGGGGUUGCGAUAGAGUGAUUUGCCCUGGCAGGGCUCCAAGGCUGCGAUAGAGUACUUUUGCUGAAGGCGUCAUUGGGCAUUCUGACUUCAUGUUCUGUUUUUCCUCUGUUUGAACUCCAAAAGCAUCCAAAGUACCUGAAAACAACCAAAUAUGCCAUGCACAUGCAAUCCUAAUGCAAAAUCGUCCUAAGUAUGUAAAACACACUAAAACGACUCCUAAUGAGAUGAAAUGUGGAUGAAACAAUGACAAAGUGGUGAAGAAUGAAUGCCUAAAUCAUGCAAAUUAUAGACAUAUCAACUCCCCCAAACUUAGUCUUUGCUUGCCCUCAAGCAAACAAAAAGACAUAAGCGGAAGGAGAGGUUUGAAGUUGGGGAUUCAGAACCAAAGCAUGAGAUAUGACAAUUAAGAUCAAUGUACCAGCCAACAGUUCUAAGAUGCGAGGUGAUCGAAUUCUACUUAAAAACUUUAGCCAUGCUCUGUUAUGAUCCAAACCUACACUCAAAUGCACAAUGCUUCAAGAUCAACCAAUCCCUUUAACAUUCAUUAAGUUCAAAAAUAUGAAUCAAGAUAUGCAUCGCUAGUGAACUCAUUUGGCUAAUGACAGGUUAUGAGACAAAGAUGGUCCCUUUUUAGUGGUUCAGAUUUUAAUAGCAGGGGACUCUCAAUGAAAAAUGACUGAGCUUUAGAAGAAUGCUAAAUGUAAGUGCCAACCUAUGCAUACAAGAAUAGCACCCCAUCUACCCAAUUACAUAAACCGUGAAUAACAAGUAGAUGGUCCUAUCUCUAAACCCAAUGAUGAUCCUAAGUCUACCCUUUUGCACUAAAGGCAUAUUUCGAUUUUUCCUUGGAUCAAUGUUUCCUUUUCUUUUCUUUGGCUCUUGUUCUUAAGGAGAAGUUUUUCUUAAACUCUAUGAGUCUAGUCUAGUGAAUUGGUUUUUUCUUAAACUCUUAUGGCUCUAAUCAUUUUUUUUUUUU